Molecule: ribosomal RNA, 253 nt
Filed under: uncultured bacterium
Lineage: Bacteria
Description: partial 16S ribosomal RNA
Rfam family: Bacterial small subunit ribosomal RNA
Source: RNAcentral
GACGUAGGGGGCGAGCGUUGUCCGGAUUUACUGGGCGUAAAGGGCGCGUAGGCGGUCUGUUAAGUGUGAAGCUAAAUCUCCAAGCUCAACUUGGAAAUCAUUUCGCAUACUGGCAGACUGGAGGAAGGAAGAGGUAACUGGAAUUCCUGGUGUAACGGUGAAAUGUGUUGAUAUCAGGAGGAACUCCAAUGGCGAAGGCAGGUUACUGGUCCUUUUCUGACGCUGAGGCGCGAAAGCGUGGGUAGCAAACAGG